RNAcentral lists this ribosomal RNA (253 nucleotides) under uncultured bacterium. RNAcentral's name for it is "partial 16S ribosomal RNA". It matches the Rfam family "Bacterial small subunit ribosomal RNA", at positions 524 to 776 of the family's 1533-position model. The record is from RNAcentral.
UACGUAGGGUGCGAGCGUGAAUCGGAAUUACUGGGCGUAAAGCGUGCGCAGGCGGUUCGUUAUGUCCGAUGUGAAAGCCCCGAGCUUAACUUGGGAAUGGCAUUGGAAACUGGCGGGCUGGAGGGCAGUAGAGGUAGGCGGAAUUCCGGGUGGAGUGGUGAAAUGCGUAGAGAUCCGGAGGAACACCAGAGGCGAAGGCGGCCUACUGGGCUGCACCUGACGCUGAGCCGCGAAAGCCAGGGGAGCGAACGGG